Motacilla alba alba is the source of this 12222-nucleotide RNA transcript. It is a transcript of the gene named growth factor receptor bound protein 10, with no coding region annotated. Lineage: Eukaryota; Metazoa; Chordata; Aves; Passeriformes; Motacillidae. The record is from RefSeq and is a predicted model, not a curated record. The transcript has 17 exons.
GACCUAAGGAGUUUUUCAACCCAAAUAUAAAUGCCAAUAUUUGAGGUAGUCACCUUAAGUGUUUUGUAGCUGGAAGCAUUUGUAGAAUCUGUUUCCUAAGGUAAAAAGACUUCAGAGGGCCUGUUUCUCUACUUCUGACCAAAUAGAAGUAUACAAAGCAGUGGGUUGCAAAUUUGAUGGAAAAAAUUCCUUCCUAUGUAUUUGCUGGGAAGAUUUCUGCAUUGCAUACAUUUUUUUUGCCAUGAUGUGAGCAGAAGGGUUAACUGAAGUGUGCUGAAGAUAUUCUGAAAAAGGCAUCUCUUGCAAUCUUGUUUUUUCUGGAAUCCUUUAUGUCCUUGGAAUUAUGACAAGCUGCUGGCUGUUGAACAUGAACUGUCUGUAUGGUUAAGUCACAAACCAUAACUGCUAUGCUGGAUGAGAGCAAGUUGGAAAAAUAGUUUUUUUGACAGCGUUUCUUUUGAGUAUGACUUGCCCUGAAGAUUAAAAGAAACCCAAACCCACAAGACCAGAAACUUCUUAUCCAUAGCAUUUUCUGAAACAGGGAUAUUGACACAAUAACAUCUAUUAUUAUGAUGUAGGGUUACACACAUGCUGUCAGUAUUGUGGUGUCAUAAUGAGCUUCUAGGUAACCUGUCACAGUUAAUUUUCCUGGUUUUGCUAAUUAAGUAGUCUUCUGUUUAUCUGUAUCCAGAAGGUGGCCCAUUCCUCUCACCCACAGCUUGAUUCUGAAGCCUAGUUCAAAGAAGUUUUUCCUCUUCUCCUCCUUAUCCUGUGAUUCCCUGUUUUGGUUUUUUUUUUUUUUUUUUUGUUUUGAAUCUCUGAUUUGACUUUAAUCUCAGCAGGAAUGUUUUCCACUACCUUUUAUUUCAUAGACCUGCAUUUUUGGGUUAGAAAGAAUAGCUCAAAACUAGAGGAAGCAGUACAAUAAAUGUUGGUUGUACUGUAAAAGGUACCACCCUGAAUUAAUCACCAUUCAGCUGAAGUGUGGUAGCAAGCUGCCAGCCCCUUGAACUGCAAGGUAAACAAGUUACUUCCCCUCCCUAAGUCUUCAGCAGUGGUGUCACAGAAGAGAAAGAAAAGCCACUUCAAUACCAAGGGACCAGCAGCUCAUCCGAUUGCAUCCCAUCUUUUCUUGGAGCAAACAGGAGAAAUCCAUUUGCAGAUACGUUCUUGUGGUUGAUAGCAGUAGUGUUUCAGUGUUGCUGAAGCCAGCAUGAUCAAACAUUGUACAUGUGGAUUUAUUACAACUGUGGGAUUUCUUGAACUUUUCUUCUGACUGACCAGGUUUGCAAUCUCUGUUCAAAUCUCCUUGACUGGAGACCCUUUACCUGGGCAGGUCUUGUUUUGAGGUGGUUUGCUUGUUUUGUUUCAUGUGCUGCCUUGGCAAUGUUUGGCACACCAGACCUUCCUCCAGUAGCAUACUGGUAGUUAUGAAACCCUUUUGAUCUGUUGAGGCUUUAAUGUAGCCUCAGAGACUUUGUGUGGAAUUAAAGCAGCUGCUGCUAACUAUGUAGGAGUGCCUCAGUUUAUGUUCUUAUGUGCUGUGGAUAACUUCCUUGGAUGUGUCCAGUCGGUGUUAAAAGAAGUGGUGAGGAGCUGUAUAAAAUAAGUGGUCACUUGACGCACUUACACUGUGAACAACUUUAAAACAGAACAAAACAAAAAGAAAACCUUUCAAGUACGAAGAGAUGAUUGACGUGCUUGCUUUUAGUGUGCCUGCUUCUGCAAAAACUGAAGAUUUAUACUUUGUAUUGUGUUUUCUGGGACAGCAUGCAAUUUUACAUGUAAUUUGUUACUAUUUAAAUGCAAAUUGCUGAUCUUUCGUAAAUUUUCUUCCUUCAGAGAAUGUUAAGUCAAUAAAGAUUUUCUGAUAAAGCCAUCUUCUUAAUGCAGAAUAACUGGUAGAGCUACUUGCAAUUAACUCCCUUUCCUCAAGGAAAAGAAAACAUGGCAGCCACUACCUUGAGAUGGAUAGAUACAAGUAUAUAUUUUUAUUGAUACUGGAACAAGUGUAACAAUGAAGCAUAUUUCCUAUGGUACCUAGAUUUUUGAAAGUUAGACAGAGAUAGGUAAACUAGGCCGAGCAUUGAGAGAAGUUCUCAGGCUAAAAAGUAGGUGCUGAGGUUCUUGGAUUUUAGUAUAGUCAAACCUAGAUACUUGUUUUUCUAAGGACAAUGAAGAUGAGGAAAAUCAGAAUCAUUUAGGUUGGAAAAGACCUCUAAGAUCAUUGAGUCCAGCCUUUGACAGAUAACCACUCUGUAAACUAGACUAUGGUACUAAGCUCCGUGUCCAGUUGUGAACACCUCUAGGGAUCGUGACCCCAUCACCUUCCUGGGCAAUUUGUCCCAAUGUUUAACAGCCCUUUUCAUGAAGAAAUUCCUCCCGAUGUCCAACCUCAACCUUCGCUGGUGCAGCUUGAGGCUGUGUCCUCCCUUCCCGUCGCUGGUUGCCUGGGAAAAGAUGCUGACCUCCAUUUGGCUAUAGCCCUCCUUUCUUUCAGGCAGUUGUAGAGAGCAAUAAAGUCCCUCCAAACCUCCUUUUCUGCAGGCUAAACACCCCCGGCUCCCUCAACCACCUGUUGUAGGACUCAUUCUCUAUGCCCUUCACCAGUGCUGUUGCCCUUCUCUGGACUUGCUCCAGCACCUUACUGUCUUUCUCGUAGUAAGGAGCCCAGAACUGGACACAGAGACUGAAAGUGUGGCUGAGUACAGGGUGAUAUCACUGCCCUGGCACUGCUGGCCUGUUUUUGAUACAAGCCAGGAUGUCAUCCUUGGCCACCUGGGCACAUGCUGGCUCACAUUCAGCUCCUGUUGACCAGUGUCCCCAGGUUCUUUUUCGCUGGGGAGCUUUCCAGCCACUCUUCCCCAGCCUGGAGUGUUGUAUGGGAUUUAUUGUGACCCAUGCCCAGGAGCUGGCGCUUGGACUUGUUGAACCUCAUAUAAUUGUCCCUUUGAUCCAGAUCCCUCUGCAGAGCCUUCCUGCCCUGCAGCAGAUCAGCUCUCCCACCCAACUUAGUAUUGCCCAUGAACUUACUGAGAGUACAUUUGAUACCCUCAUCCAGAUCAUCAGUAGAGGUACUGAAGAGGACUGGGCCCUCUAUUGAGCUCUGUAUGUUUCUUUCAUUUUGGGAAAUUGGAGUGAGACCAUGAUGCACUGGAGUCGUCAGGAUGGCUUAUGUUGUUAGUCUUAUCUUAAUUUUUGUUUUCUUUCUAGCUGUUAUGAAUUGACAAUUUCUAUGUUGGUAUUUCUGUAAUGCUGGCUGCAGCAUCAUUUUUAUUAGAAAUUUUGUCCAACCAUUGUGUGCUAACACUUGGGGGUGGCAACUUAAUGAAGUCUGAUAGAGCAUCACAGUGAGGUUUGUUUUUUUUCAGGAAAAUUGUUUUGAACAUCACAGUGAAAGGUGCAGUUAUGUAUGUGACUUUCUUAUAGAUGCACAGGUUAAAUGAGAUUCAUACAUGGUAAAGUAAAGAAACACAGACAUUCAGGCAUGUUGUUCUGUUGGUAAUGAUGAGGGGUUUUUGGUUUUUUUUCCCCCUAUUCUAAAGGCUUGCAAAGUAACCCAUUACUACUAAAUAUGCAGUGCAAAACAACUAUUUUAAGUACCCAUAUAUUGCACACUAUUUCUUAGACUCCAGCUUUUUUUUUUUUUUUGCAUAAACUACAUUACUGUAGUAAUGUAUUAUCAGACUGUAACCCUGAUAUUUGGUUAGGGGAGAACCCAGCAGUCUGUUCCAAUACAAGAUCUGAUGCUAGGUUAUUAAUCAUGAAUAAUUACUGUGCCUUAGACUGGUAGACUGUGAUUUCUGUGGGGUUUAAGUAGGGUAUAGAGCAGUGAACUGAAGUGUAUAAACAUUUGUCCCAUAUCUGAGAUUCUGAAAUGUCCUUUUUUUGUUUGUUUUUGGUAAGCCUUGCUGUUUUAGAGAUGUGCAAAGAGUUAAUUCUGUAUCAAAUUGAGAGCAAGUCACCAGAAAUACAAAUGCCCUUGUCUGAAGCGAGCAGUGAGUUCUGGGGCAGAUGGCACCAUGUGACAGGAGAAUGGAUCUUUAUCUGAGUAGAAAGGUGUGUGGUUCAGCUAAUUAGGAUCAUAGGUUUGAUCAGAUGGGACAGGCACUUCUCAACCUAGUUAACUAUGUAUCUAGUUCCAAAGAUCGCUGUUGGGAAGGAGGGGAGGGGUACCAAGCACACCCUAAAUUUCAGCAAUUGAGCAAAUUGCCUAGAAAGUAGAGGUCCAUAUUGCUAAUAGUUGAGGCAAGGAAGGAUAGCAAAGUAGUCUUAUACGAAUUUGUUCAACAUGACACUUGAAAUUGGUCAAAUUAUCAACCUUAAAGACCUGAAGAGCAAUUUCAUUAGCAUGUGAGUUUGCUCACUGACAUGCAGUAAAUUUUAAUGGUACAUGUGGACACAGUGGCUCCUUCCCUACAGGAGGUUUAUCAUUUUAUGACUUCUGUCAAGGGCUGUGAAGGACCAUGUUUACUUCUUGGCCCAUUCAGAUUCUCAGUUUGAGAAUCUGAGCUAUCACAAAGAAAAGAGGGGGAUAGCACUAUUGCUAAGUAAGAGAGCAGAGCCACAUUCAGAUGGUAUAAAUUCCUCUGUGUUUCAUGCUACUUGCAUUCCUUUGUUGAGUUUCAUCUUUCUUGAUGUCUCGUGUUUCCUAGCUAUAAGCUUACAUACUCUUAAAUGUAAUUCAGGUUAUAUCUUCCUGUGGUUGCCACUUCCCAAAGCAUACAGAUUUGAAUAUAAAUUCCUGAAGAGAAUGCACUUGUGUGGAAACAGUGGUUCCUUCAACCCAGGUGGCAUUUUCCCUUCUCUGCUCCCUCCCCUGGUCUGAGACACACAAAUGUGUUGCUGCAGUGCCAGCUCCGAGUCCACCAGCUCAUUCUUUCAAGCACCGAGCCUUCCAAGGUUAAUUCAGGGCAUCAUUAGCCUGUGCUAGGACAGACUGUCCAAGGCAUUUUGCGGAACGUCUCCUGUCCACGUGGUAGAAGGAUGCUGUCAAAACCUGACUCCCAAAGCCAGUGUUCUUGGAAGCAGCUGGCCAGCAGUGCUGCUAUAAGCAAAGCUGUAGUGGGUUUGAUGCCAAGUAGAACAGAUGAGCUACCUUGUAUUUCACAGGUCUGAGCAUGGGGAGGCCAGUGUGUUGGAAAGGAUCAAAUAUCCUGUACUUUCUUUCUUGUUACAGCUUCCCCCAAAAUAAUAGAUGAGAUUUUUUUUUUUUUUUAAUACAAGCUUAAAGGAAAUAAUUUUGAAGAUGUUUUCUCAGAUUGGACAGGUGUGUUAGCAAGUGUGUGAUGCCGAAAUUUUCCAUUGCACCAGAGUACAAAUAUUCCUUCCUAUUAUGUUUCUUUUUGUCCUUCUGAUGUAGUCUGACAGUGCACUUAAGAAAUUUGGACAAAAUAUGGAAAGUGACCCUGGUAAGGAUUCUUGAAUAGGCUAAAGGUUUUAUGAACAACAACACAUUGUUGUGGGUUGCAUUACUCCCUUAGAUUGUGUGAGCACCAUCCAGUAUAGUAGUUAACACGUAUGAACUUGUGCUUUUGGCUCAAUUUAAGUACUAUAGUCUGUUACAUGUCAGUUCUUUGAUACAAGAUGUAACUGAAAAGCCUCUUUAAAAAAAAGAGGAAUAUAUCAUACUGCUUUAGGUUAUAAUUUCUCAUGGUAAGAAAACUCAAUUUUUAAAUUUAAUUCCUAUUGAUAAGUGCAGUUCACUCUCACAAAUAUCAGAUUUUUCAGGGACUUCAGUGUUUGAGUCAGUAUUGACUAAAACCUAAGAGCUUAGAACAUGCAGCAAAGGAUGUAGCUUUGAACAUGUAUCUUUGUCAGUGGCAGUCCCUUGCCAGUGAGAGUGACUUGCUUUGGAGGUAAGGCUAAUUUACAAUUAAGUUCAAGCUAGAGAUACAUUGUCAGCUUCUGUGGGCACCAGCAGAAGAAACAAAAUUUCCACAUAAGCAUGCAACUUUCCUACUGUGAAUAAUUUCCUAAUAUAAACUUCAUUUAUUCAGUGGUGUUUUGUUAGAAACGAAAAGAAGCCUAGUUUGUUUUAAAAAAAAAGAAGUUAAAGAAUACUUUAUCAGUGAGUUAAUACUUCAUUUUUCUAAGUACUUUACAGGUGAAGACGCCUUUAAUGAAUGAUUGCUUUCACUGAGAAUUUUGUGCAAUUGUUUCUUUUCUAUAUUUCAAGACUUUAUUUUAGCUAUAAACUAUGUAAACUGUCUCUAACAGCCACAGUGGUUUUAGUCUCAUUAAAAAUAGAACAAAGCUUUUAGCAUUUCUAAGCCUGUCAGUUGGAUUUCCUCAUUGCUAGCUGAUUAAAAGACAGCCACCAUGAUGCAUUGAAUUUUCUUCUACCAUAAUAAAUGUCAUUCUGGUCCAAGAAGUGCACACUGUGGAGUAUACUGUCCAUUUUAUCUGUGCAGAAUAUGGGGAGACAGCUCAAUUUUUGCAGAAGUGGUUGGUUCCUACUGAGAGAGGACUGCAUCUAGUGAGAGAGUUCUUGCCAAACGUUUGGUUCAGGAGUGUUCAGAAAGCCCUUUUAAUACCAGUUUUGCAAAGAUCAGCCUAGAGAAGCUGAAUCUCUGGUGUUAGCCUGUACACAUGCUGCAGAAGUGCAUUGCUGGAGCUGUCAGCUAACACUCACUAUGCUCACUCCUGCCUUACUGGAGAAAAGCCUUUUAGGAGUAAACAACUGUUACCAGAUACUGUUGGAGGUUGCUAGCUGUGGUCCAGCUCUUGCUAGACUACAUUCAUUAAUUAAUUAAUUUCCUGGAUGCCAAAGAGACACUGGGAGUUAGGGCAGGGGGUGGCAGAAAGAAGCCGGGUGAUGUUGCUUUUUGGUUUGCCCUGAUAGCAAUUGCAGUGCAGGUAGUGAUAAGUCACAGAACUAGACUCCUAAAAAUAAAUCUGAAGCACCUUCAGAAAAAUAAGUUUCUGGCUCAGCUAUAGUGGUGGCUUCUAUAACUGUGUUGGGUAAUAGCUUUUAGGAAGAAACAUUUCAGUGGCUCGGGGCAUGCACACUGUGGGGUUUCAGUGUUGACAACAGGGUCCAAACCCCCAGUUUUUUUUAGACUUGAAGGUUUUCUGAUCAGUGAGUUGCUAAAGCCCAGAGGGGGUCAGGAGAUAAGUUCCUCCAAGGUCAGACUGACAAGCCUUUCUGCCUUCCCCUGUAUCAUGGGACGUAAUAUAAUUCCUGUGAUUCAUUUAACAAAUUCUCUGCCACUGCAGAGACGUGGACCACGGACGCAGGACAAUGUAGAUCAGACUUCAGCUCAUGGUCGGCGGGAUCUGGUGGAACCGGGUUUCCAAGAACCGUCUAACCGCAUCUCCCUAAACCACCAAGAUGACGACGUGGACCUGGAAGCUUUGGUAAACGACAUGAAUUCCUCAUUUGAAAGUUUAUACUCUACAUGCAGCAUGCAGUCGGAAACCGCUCCACUCCUCCAGAAUGGCCAGCUGAGCCGCAGCCAGCUGCCAUCCUCGGGGUCCAGCACCCUGCAGCCCAUGUCCCCGAGGCAGAAGGUGCAGCGCUCCCAGCCAGUGCGCAUCAUGGCAGUCAGGCGUCUUCAAGAAGAGGAGCAGCAAUUCCGAACAUCAUCUUUGCCGGCCAUCCCAAACCCUUUCCCAGAACUUUGUAGCCCUGCAAGCUCUCCAGUGCUGGCCCCUGGAUCUUUACCUCAGAGUCAACCUGCUAGUAAGCAUGAUGUAAAAGUCUUUAGUGAAGAUGGAACAAGCAAAGUGGUCGAGAUUCUAGCAGACAUGACAGCCAGGGACCUCUGUCAGCUGCUCGUUUACAAAAGUCAUUGUGUGGAUGAUAACAGCUGGACUCUAGUGGAGCAUCACCCUCACCUAGGAUUAGAGAGGUGCUUGGAAGAUCAUGAGCUCAUAGUUCAAGUUGAAUCCACCAUGGGAAGUGAAAGCAAAUUUUUGUUCAGGAAGAAUUACGCAAAAUACGAAUUUUUCAAAAAUCCCAUGAAUUUCUUUCCCGAACAAAUGGUUGCCUGGUGCCAGCAAACAAAUGGCAGUAUCCCACAGUCACAACUUUUGCAGAACUUUUUAAACUCCAGUAGCUGCCCUGAAAUUCAAGGUUUCUUGCAUGUGAAAGAGCUGGGUAGGAAAUCAUGGAAGAAACUGUUUAUGUGUUUGAGGAGAUCAGGACUUUAUUGUUCUACAAAAGGAACUUCAAAGGAACCAAGACAUUUGCAAUUGUUGGCUGACCUAGAAGACAGCAAUAUCUUCUCCUUGAUAGCAGGCAAGAAGUUGUACAAUGCCCCUGCAGAGUAUGGAUUUUGUAUAAAGCCAAACAGAGUGAGAAAUGAAACUAAGGAGCUGCGGUUGUUGUGUGCUGAAGACGAGCAAAGCAGGACGUGCUGGAUGACUGCCUUUCGACUCCUCAAGUAUGGAAUGCUACUGUAUCAGAAUUACAGAAUUCCCCAGCAGCGAAAAGCCAUGCUUCCACACUUUUCCACUCCAGUAAGAAGUGUAUCUGAAAACUCACUAGUAGCAAUGGAUUUUUCGGGGCAAAUAGGAAGAGUUAUUGAAAAUCCUGCUGAAGCACAGAGUGCUGCCUUGGAAGAAGGACAUGCUUGGAGGUGUCCAGAGGAAAGUUGAGGGGGAAAGCAGACCCACCAGAACUUUACUGCCAGUUUGCAAAACCAGUCUCUGAGGAGGAAUAUGUCAAAUUAAAUGCUUCCCCACAUGGAAGAGGCUGGGGCUCUGACUAAUGGCUUGCUCCCAAAACGUAGCACAAGAAUGAACAUCUUGGGUAGCCAAAGUCCACUCCAUCCUUCCACACUGAGUACAGUUAUUCAUAGGACACAGCACUGGUUUCAUGGCAGAAUCUCUAGAGAAGAGUCUCACAGGAUUAUUAAGCAACAAGGGCUUGUAGAUGGAUUAUUUCUGCUACGGGACAGCCAAAGCAAUCCAAAGGCAUUUGUACUCACGUUAUGCCAUCAUCAAAAAAUAAAGCAUUUUCAAAUCUUGCCGUGUGAAGAUGAUGGACAGAUAUUUUUCAGUCUGGAUGAUGGGAACACCAAAUUCAGUGAUCUAAUCCAGCUUGUUGAAUUCUAUCAACUAAACAAAGGAGUCUUGCCCUGCAAACUCAAACACCACUGCAUCCGAGUGGCCUUAUGACCUCAAAUCUGACUCUUGCUGAAGACUGUAUUUGAUAGAAGAGUAAUUGUAAGAGAACGUUGACACUGGGGAAUUGGCAGAUUUGUAAGUUGGUUAAAAAAAUAAAUAUUAUGCACCUUGGGACUCGAAAGGGAUGGAUUCGACAGGUGCCAACAGACCAAGAUUGCUGGUUUGUCUAACACCUAAGAGUGAUUGCUGCUGAGUGUCCCAGCAUCCCAAAAAUGGGGGGAGGGUCUGUAAAACAAUGAGUAAAUUUGAAACAAAACUGGAAACUAUCUUGGCUGGGCCACUUAACAGGAACAAGUGUGAAGAGAAAUCUUUGAAAAGAACUCUUGCCCUGGAAUAAUCUUGACAAUUAAGACUAGUGUGUUUACUUUUUGUAUUGAUCACUUUUUUUGCACUCCUACUUUGUUUCGGAUAUUGUAUGCAGCCUAUAUUAGGAGCUGAUGUGGCUUUUAAAAUUCAUGCAGGAGUUGGGUAUUAAUCUGCACCCUAAAAUGUAUGGAAUGCUUCAGCCUAAAAGGAUCUAGAAGAAAAUCAAGAAGUGUGUGUGUGCGCGCGCGUGUGUCUCAGUACUUCUCUGGAGACCUGAGGUUCAAUGAUCUGCCGAUGUCUUUGAAGAAGCAAUGAGGAUACAAUUCUAAAAGAAAAUACCACCAAUAUACGUACUCUUGAAACUGUUGACUUGUAGCAUUAUGGCUGUAGUAUGUUGAUGGCAUAUUAGUGGCAUCCAGUCAUGCAGAGACUGUAUUAGAUUCUAUGCACAAAUUUUUAUUAUUGGAGUGGUGGUUUGUUUUUUACAGCCUUUUGACUGUUUUCCUGAGGAAACUUGCUGUUACUAAAUAGAGUAGGACUGAAUGACUACACUUGUAUUUGAAACCACCAUUUUUUGUGAGAAGAUUCUUCUGCAGGUAGUCUUAGUAUGACAAAAUAAAAAAAAAUUAAAACCAGUGUUUUUUAGCUUUAUAGCUCCUUGAAUUUUCAGACUGUUUCAAAGAGCUCUUUCGAUAGAGUAAAGCUACAGUGACACAAUGCUCUCCUGGGGAUAGGGCAUAAGAAGAACUGAACCCCUUCUGCUUCUUGUAGGGCCAUGAAAGUUUACAUGGUGAGAAGGGACAUGCUGGGAAUAGAAACAGAUUUGAUUGUGAAGUAACUGCUGGCAAUAUCAUCCACUGAGGUAACUGGUGAUCCCUGCGUCAUGUGUGCUACUGCACACCAGUACCUGUGGCAGACAAGCAUGUCAUCUUGCUCUGGUGCUGGUUUGUCAUCAGAACUACUUUAUUGUUAAUGUUUAAAUGAAUUCUCUAAUGUUUACUCAAUAACUCUUUCUGAUGAUAAAUCAGUAUUAAAGUCAGACAAGUCCCACCUUGAUCCUGCAGUUGCAACCAACCAUUCCUUCAGCAACUGUCUGAACUGAAAUAACUUCCCGGUGCUUGGUGCCAUUAGCCACAGGGAGAAGUAUUCCACCCUGGGAACUUGCAGAGUGUAGUGCAGAACGGAGCAUUUGUAAAACGGUAAAUUAUCUACACAGGCUAGUUAAUCCUUAAUAUUUGCCACUGGGUUUGAAAUCCUAGCCAUCUGAAAGGGUAAAGAAGGAAAACCAAUCCUACACUUUUAGGUCUUCAUGUAGUGUUAAGAAUAGCUUAAGACAAACCAUAACCUGCCUGAGUCAUCCAUAUCAGCUUAAACUAUGUCAAUGGUAUAGAAACACUGUAUUUUAGUUUACAGAACACAUUUAGUAUUUUUUUCCAUUUAAUGUCUAGAUACUAAAAAUGAAGAAACUUGAUUUUGUUUUUAGUAGAAGCCGUUUUUGUUUUGUUUUGUUUUGUUUCGCUUUUUUUAAUUGUACAUAGUGAAAUGAGUGUUCCUGCUUUCUAGACAAUGUAUUUUAAAACCUUGAAAUUAAGCUAAUUUAAGUCUGACUUCACUUUGCAUGCUUCUAUUUGGCCCCUAUUAGGAGAAAAAGAUACUUGUAUUGACUACAUUACCAGUUUAAUAAGACCAUUUAUGCUGUAGUUUUAAGUUUUUCUGUUUACAUAGCUUAGUGACAACCAUGCAUUUUUCCCAGUAGGCAGAUAGUAUUUGCAGUGUUUCAUAUUUAUAAAAAAAAAACUUUGCAUCUUAUUUAAAUUGAAAAUAAAAGUUUGACUAUGAACCAUGAUUUUUGUAUGUAGAUGGUUGACUUAGUAUUUUGUACUCUUCCCAGCUAAAGUGAGCUGUUUUGAGAAAGUGACCACCUUCAAAGUGGCAACAAUCUUACUUAAGCAGAGCACUGCUUUGUCUUCUUUCUGCUGGAAAACAGUCAAUGCCACCUUAGUUUUCCAACAGAUUCAGCUGGCUGCCAGCUCAGAAUACCAAGGACUGAAGGACAUUUGACUCUUAUUUUUGUAUUUAAAUGACAUGAAUGUAAAGGGGAUGCUCAGGGUUGUUUUGGAGCCUGUUGAAUUUUUAUCUUUUUGCCUGUGAUUUUAUUUUCUAAAUAAAUACUUCAUGUAGCAAUCUUGAAUAUGUUGAGAAGGAAAAUGCCAAACCAUUUUGGUAAUGAGGUUACUAGUUAAGUUAUGUUACGAUAGGUGUUAAAGUACAAAAAACUUUUUAUUUGUUAAUUAAUCUUGAAGAAACACGUGCCUCAGUUUAGAUGUUUUGUCUUAUCUUUUCUGCACUAAAUACCUGACAGUUUGACCAAUCAAUGCACCUUUCCAGUGGCAAGACUUGCUUAUCGUAAAUUAUAUUGUCACAAUGCAAGAUUUAGUGACUGUAAAAUGGAAUAAAGUUUAAAGUUUCAGGGAAUGCAAAAGGUAUUAACUUAAGAGACAAAACCUUUAUUCAAUAUGCUUUGCUUCAUACUGUAAAUAGCUUUUUGGCUUGUGAACCUAAUUGUAAUCUUUCAGGUAUUUUUGUACAAAUAAGGGACUGAUAUUCUGUUUCUUGUAAUUAGAAAUAAACGUUAAUACAAUGCUAUUCAUUUUAUAUUGGAAUGAAUGUCAUCCUUUGGAUAUACCAGUACACUGUGUAUCUCUUGCCUUAAUACAGGUUAAUUGAGUAGGUCAUGUUAAACAGCUUUUAAGAAGUGUGAAGAGGAAAACACAAUCCCCAAGA